UACGGAGGGGGCAAGCGUUGUUCGGAAUCAUUGGGCGUAAAGCGCGUGUAGGCGGCUUGGCAAGUCGGGUGUGAAAGCCCGGGGCUCAACCCCGGAACUGCAUUCGAAACUCCUGCGCUGGAGUUCGGGAGAGGAAGGUGGAAUUCCGGGUGUAGAGGUGAAAUUCGUAGAUAUCCGGAGGAACACCAGUGGCGAAGGCGGCCUACUGGACGGUAACUGACGCUGAGAUGAGAAAGCGUGGGGAGCAAACAGG
This 253-nucleotide ribosomal RNA is filed under the name uncultured bacterium. RNAcentral describes it as "partial 16S ribosomal RNA". It matches the Rfam family "Bacterial small subunit ribosomal RNA", at positions 524 to 776 of the family's 1533-position model. The record is from RNAcentral.